Molecule: ribosomal RNA, 405 nt
Filed under: uncultured bacterium
Lineage: Bacteria
Description: partial 16S ribosomal RNA
Rfam family: Bacterial small subunit ribosomal RNA
Source: RNAcentral
AUUGAACGCUGGCGGCAGGCCUAACACAUGCAAGUCGAACGAGUGGCGGACGGGUGAGUAAUGUCUGGGAAACUGCCUGAUGGAGGGGGAGAACUACUGGAACCGGUAGCUACUACCGCAUACCAUCAGAUGUGCCCAGAUGGGAAUAGCUUGUUGGUGGGGUAACGACUCACCAAGGCGCCGAUCCCUAGCUGGUCUGAGAGGAUGACCAGCAACGGGGGAACUGAGAAACGGGCCAGACUCCUACGGGAGGCAGCAGUGGGGAAUAUUGCACAAUGGGCGCAAGCCUGAUGCAGCCAUGCCGGGUGUAUGAAGAAGGCCUUCGGUUUGUAAAGUACUUUCAGCGGGGAGGCGUUACCCGCAGAAGAAGCACCGGCUAACUCCGUGCCAGCAGCCGCGUAAUAC